GCGCUUCCGGGUCGACGCGGCGGCUGGGCCUGGCGGCGUUGGCGGGGGAUUGCGGGUCCGGUGCUUCUCGCCCCUCCCGGCGGCCGGGCUGGGGCCCGUCCUGCCUCACAGCGCCUUCACCCGCUGUGCGGCACCGUAACAGGGCUUCCCUUCAGGCGGUGCGGGCGGCGGUGCCCUCGCGGCGCAGAGCGGGGCUGCGGAGAUGGAAGAGGAACCUGAACGGACAAAGCGCUGGGAAGGAGGCUACGAGAGAACUUGGGAAAUUCUUAAAGAAGAUGAAUCCGGGUCGCUGAAACCGACCAUCGAGAGUAUCCUCUUCAAGGCAAAGAGGAAGAGACUCUAUGAACACCAUGGACAAGUUCGACUUGGAAUGAUGCGUCACCUUUACAUGGUUAUUGAUGGAUCAAGAACUAUGGAAGACCAAGAUUUAAAACCGAACAGGCUUACUUGCACUUUGAAGCUAUUGGAGUAUUUUGUUGAAGAGUACUUUGACCAAAAUCCUAUUAGUCAGCUUGGCUUAAUUGUAACCAAGAGUAAAAGAGCUGAAAAAAUGACAGAACUUUCAGGUAACACAAAAAAGCACUUAACUGCUCUGAAGAAAGCAGUGGAUAUGAACUGCAGUGGAGAGCCGUCUCUGUAUAAUUCCCUAAAUUUGGCUAUGCAGACUUUAAAGCACAUGCCAGCACAUACAAGCAGAGAGGUUUUGGUAGUCUUCAGCAGCCUGACGACAUGUGAUCCAGCCAACAUCUAUGAUCUGAUUAAGUGUUUAAAAGCAGUUAAGAUCAGAGUGUCUGUCAUCGGCCUAAGUGCUGAGGUUCGAGUUUGUACAGUACUUGCCCGAGAAACUGGUGGAACAUACCACGUUAUUUUAGAUGAAAGUCAUUAUAAGGAACUGCUGAUGCAUCAUGUUAGUCCUCCACCUGCCAGUUCAAGUUCUGAGUGCUCCCUUAUUCGAAUGGGUUUUCCUCAGCAUGCUAUUGCUUCUCUAUCUGAUCAAGAUGCAAAGCCAUCCUUUAGCAUGGUGCAAUUGGAAAACAACAGUGAGCCAGGUCUUACUCUGGGUGGAUAUUUCUGUCCCCAGUGCAGAGCCAAAUACUGUGAACUUCCUGUGGAAUGCAAAAUCUGUGAUGUCAGCAUCGUACAAGGGACUUCUUUAACAGACACACCAAUGUUUCCGACUCCUCAGUGCAAGGCCAUGAAGAUAGUCUUUGAAGGACAGAAGUCUCCUCUCACCUCUCCAUCUCCAGGAAAGCAGGGCUCCAUCAUGUCUUGACUGUUACUUGGGAAGACGGAUGCCAUAACUGCGAGUGUCCUCCUGCUUCUUUCUUCUUCCCCAGCUUUAUAUGCUGGGGAAGACACCAUAUGGUCUCACAUUAGUUUCUGCACCUCAUCUGGCUCGGUCUUACCAUCAUUUGUUUCCUUUGGAUGCCUUUCAGGAAGUUCCCUUGGAAGAGUAUCAGGGGGAACGGUGUUGUCAAGGCUGCCAGGGAGAAAUGAAAGAUCAAAAUGUUUACGUAUGUAAAGUGUGUCAGAAUGUAUUUUGCGUGGAUUGCGAUCUGUUUAUUCAUGAUUGUCUGCACUGCUGUCCUGGCUGUGUUCAUGGGCACUCUGCUCCCAUGUCUGCAUGAUGUCAUAUCAGUGUAAUUCCUGCAUAAAUCUGGUUUGCUUAUUCAGCCAUGGCUUUCAGUGAGGCACCUCAAAGCAAGGAGGACAUAGAUGAUUACAGAAGGAUGAACACUGGCUUGGGAGCAAACUUUUUUACUAAUGUAUUAAUGAUUUUGCUACUCUUAAUAUAUUCUUGAAUUAUGUGUAUCUGUCUGAUUUAUUUUCUUUGUUCUUGUCCAAAAAGCUCUGGUUUUCUGACUGUUACUCUGAGUAACAUGUAUAUUUGUAAAUGUGGAAGUGAUGAAACUGGUUUUAUGAUAAUGUGGCAAAUCAUCUAUGUUUCAUUAUAUGUUCAGAAAGAAGCCCUGCAAAUAUAUUUUAUAUAUCCAUUGUUGUAAGCUCCAGGUUUUAGUGGUUGAUGCAGUUCUGUAGAUCAAAAUUAUUAUUAUUUUUUUAGAGUACUUAAUAAAGAUGUUUUUAAGUAAUUAGUUGAGAGACAUUUCAAAUAUUAAUUCCAAGUAGUGUGGCUAUUCACCUUGGCCUUCAGAAAGGCAAUUCAAAUACAGCUGUUACAAAUGUGCUGAAAAGAUAUUUUGGGUUUUAAUGGUACUGAUCAAAGCCAACUGAAUUCUGUGACUGCUGUGUCCAUUGUUGUGUGGUGUAAGUAAGUCUCACUUUCUUGUGGGAGUGUAAGGUUACUGAAAGGCAAUGAAUUUGCAAAGGUCUAAGACUUGAGUUUUUACAAAUCAUUUUUUGAUGGUCACAGGAUUGAAGACAGUGAUGUUAUUUUGAUUCUGAGGCUAGAAUGAAUUGCCACAACUGCAAGUCAUCUUCUCUCCUUGGCUAAACCCCCAGAGCAACAGACAAGGUGGGGGAAGAAAUGGAGGCAUGUGUCCUUAUCCCCACAUUGAGGAAUGGAAAUUGAGACAAAUGCAAGAUGCUCUUUGCCAUUUUGGACAGUGCGUGUUCAAAGUGUCAUUGCAAUUUGAACUUGUGAGACUGUAACAUCUCAUUGUUACAUUGUUGUGAAUUGACUUGUGAGAAUGCCACACCUCGGUGAGAGGAGGUGGUGGUGGUGCAGUGUCUAAAGCAGCAUGUCACAUCUGUUUUUCUGUAGUCGUCUUGUGACCUCUGUAAUACACCCUGAAUAACUCAGUCA
Molecule: RNA transcript, 2764 nt
Organism: Strigops habroptila (Kakapo)
Lineage: Eukaryota; Metazoa; Chordata; Aves; Psittaciformes; Psittacidae
Gene name: general transcription factor IIH subunit 2
Exons: 17
Source: RefSeq, a predicted model, not a curated record